This 808-nucleotide ribosomal RNA is filed under the name uncultured archaeon. RNAcentral describes it as "bacterial SSU rRNA". It matches the Rfam family "Archaeal small subunit ribosomal RNA", at positions 85 to 876 of the family's 1478-position model. The record is from RNAcentral.
ACGGCUCAGUAACACGUGGCUAACCCACCCUUGAGACGGAGAAAACCCCGGGAAACUGGGGUUAAUCUCCGAUAAGAGAAGACCCCUGGAAUGGGUCUUCUCUCAAAGGGCGCCUAGACCAUGCUUCUAGGCGUUGCUCAAGGACGGGGCCGCGGCCGAUCAGGUUGUUGGUGAGGCAACGGCUCACCAAGCCUAUAACCGGUACGGGCCGUGAGAGCGGGAGCCCGGAGAUGGGCACUGAGACAAGGGCCCAGGCCCUACGGGGCGCAGCAGUUGCGAAAACUCCGCAAUGCACGAAAGUGUGACGGGGCUACCCCGAGUGCCGUCCGCUGAGGGCGGCUUUUCCCCGGUGUAAGGAGCCGGGGGAAUAGGGAGAGGGCAAGUCUGGUGUCAGCCGCCGCGGUAAUACCAGCUCUCCGAGUGGUAGGGAUGAUUAUUGGGCUUAAAGCGUCCGUAGCCGGCCCGGCAAGUCUUCCGUUAAAUCCAACGAUUCAAUCGUUGGACUGCAGGAGAUACUGUUGGGCUAGGGGGCGGGAGAGGCCGACGGUAUUCUCGGGGUAGGGGUAAAAUCCUAUAAUCCCGGGAGGACCACCAGUGGCGAAGGCGGUCGGCUAGAACGCGCUCGACGGUGAGGGACGAAAGCUGGGGGAGCGAACCGGAUUAGAUACCCGGGUAGUCCCAGCUGUAAACGAUGCGGGCUAGGUGUUGGGGCGGCUACGGGCCGCUUCAGUGCCGCAGGGAAACCAUUAAGCCCGCCGCCUGGGGAGUACGGCCGCAAGGCUGAAACUUAAAGGAAUUGGCGGGGGAG